Molecule: unclassified non-coding RNA, 346 nt
Filed under: soil metagenome
Description: partial contains 5.8S ribosomal RNA, internal transcribed spacer 2, and large subunit ribosomal RNA
Rfam family: 5.8S ribosomal RNA (bases 1-120)
Source: RNAcentral
GAUGAAGAACGUAGCGAAAUGCGAUAAGUAAUGUGAAUUGCAGAAUUCAGUGAAUCAUCGAAUCUUUGAACGCACAUUGCGCCCGCCAGUAUUCUGGCGGGCAUGCCUGUCUGAGCGUCAUUUCAACCCUCAUGCCCCUAGGGCGUGGUGUUGGGGAUCGGCCAAAGCCCGCGAGGGACGGCCGGCCCCUAAAUCUAGUGGCGGACCCGUCGUGGCCUCCUCUGCGAAGUAGUGAUAUUCCGCAUCGGAGAGCGAUGAGCCCCUGCCGUUAAACCCCCAACUUUCCAAGGUUGACCUCAGAUCAGGUAGGAAUACCCGCUGAACUUAAGCAUAUCAAUAGCGAGGA